UUUUUUUUUUUUUUUUUUUUUUUUUUUAAACUGGCCUGUUUUAGAGUUCAGUUUGAUUAUGUGGCACCUAGCAUGAGUGAUUCCAUUAUAGUUUGGUUUGGUCUGGUCUGCCGGCCCCAGUGUAGGAGGCUAGCCCAAAACAAUGUUUCCUGUAAGUUUUAUGUAACACUGAUUUGAUCAUCCCUUAAUGUUGGCUGUCCUCUAUACACGAUAAGCAUGAUGGCUUCAACUAAUACCUGUUGACAAAUCCCAAAUCUGCAGCUGUGGGCCAGUUCUAGGCUCCUGAUCUGAAUAUUAAAGUGCCUAGCCUUCCUGAAACUCAACGUGUCUAUAACUGAACUUACUGGCACCCUCUCCUCCAUGCAUUUUCCCUAUGAACUAACGUCAUCAGCUUUAUUCACUUCUUCAAGAUAGUCAUUUGAGAAUUAACUUUGAUACUUCCUCUUCCUUUCCUCCUACAUUUACAUCUAAUUGGUCAUUAAGUUUUAAUUCUCUAAUUCUCUCUUGAAUCAGUUUCCUGCUCUCCUACAUCACUGCCCUAUUUUAGGACAUUUCUCAAUAGGAACAUAGUAGUGACAUUCUAACUGGUUUUCCCACCUUUCUCUUGCCUUCGUCUAUCCUACUGCCAGACAGACUUUCCAAAGUUGAAAGUUUAAUUGUGCAGAACCUUUUCAAUCGUUCCCGAUUACCUUCAUGACACUCUUAGAUACUUAGGAUGGCAUCCAAGGCCAUUUGUAUUCUAGCUUUGCUGAAAGUAGUCAAUCUAAACUACUGAAGUCCCCAGAUUAACACCAUGCUCUCUAACCUCUUUUUGUGAGUUGCCUGUGCCUUUCCCACCCCCACUAUUUAGUCCAAAUCAACACUGAGUUCAGAGCUCUCCUCCUGUAGAGUGUUUUCUUAGCCUCCCCAACCGUGAUUAGGUGCCCCUCUAGUAUAUUUUCACAGCACCCUGUGUUUACUUCUGUUAGGGCACUGAUAUCAACCCUGCAACUGCUAACUUACAUGUCUGGACCCCAGCUUUAAACCAUGUGAAUAAUAAUACCUAGCAUUUGUCGAAAGCUGUGUACUAGGCUUUGUAUUAAGUACACUGCAUGCAUUAUUUAUUUAAUCCUCAUGACAAACCUUAGAAAGUAGGAACUAAUACUAACCUCAACUUGCAGGUGAAGAAACUGAGCACAGAGUGGUUAAGAAACUUCCUCCAUGUUGCAGAAUUAUAUCCUAAUGUUUUUGGGAGGCAAGGAUCAUAUACUAUAUGUGUAUGAGGAGAAUGUGGCAAAGUCUGGCACAUGGUAGUGCUUCAGUAAAGGUUUACAGGUCAAAUAAGCGAAUGAAGAGCUCAGAGGACAAACCUGUGACAAACGAACAGAAACUAAAAAGCAGCAGAUUUUAGUUUAGCAUAACAAAAAACUUGGCCGGGUGUGGUGGCUCAUGCCUAUAAUCCCAGCAUUUUGGGAGGCUGAGGUGGGAGGAUUGCUUGAGCCCAGGAGUUCAAGACAAGCCUGGGCAACAUAAGGAGAUCUUGUAUCUACAAAAGAUUUUUAAAAAUUUAGCUGGGUAUGGUGGCAUAUGCCUGUAGACCCAGGUACCCAGGAGGCUGAGGUGGGAAGAUUGCCUGGGCCCAGGCAGUUGAGGCUGCAGUGAGCCAAGAUUGUACCACUGCACUCCGGUAUGGGCAACAGAGCAAUAUCGUGUCUCAAAAAAGUUUUUAAAUUAAAAGAGAAAGAACUUUAUAUUAAUUAGACCAUCCAAUGGAAUGGAUUUCUCAAAAAACAGGUACACAUAGCACUUAUACUGAAGAGUAUUUAUACAUUUGCAUUUUCCC
This 1822-nucleotide long non-coding RNA is filed under the name Macaca fascicularis (crab-eating macaque). Its description in RNAcentral is "lncRNA (ENSMFAG00000054831.1)". The record is from RNAcentral. Lineage: Eukaryota; Metazoa; Chordata; Mammalia; Primates; Cercopithecidae.